Molecule: ribosomal RNA, 774 nt
Filed under: uncultured Neocallimastigales
Lineage: Eukaryota; Fungi; Neocallimastigomycota; Neocallimastigomycetes; Neocallimastigales
Description: partial large subunit ribosomal RNA
Rfam family: Eukaryotic large subunit ribosomal RNA
Source: RNAcentral
UAUGUGAUCGUCUCUCGCAUAUCAAUAAGCGGAGGAAAAGAAACUAACAAGGAUUCCCCUAGUAACGGCGAGUGAAGCGGGAAGAGCUCAAAUUUGAAAUCUUAAAGGGUUUCCCUUUACGAAUUGUAGUUUAAAGAAGUGUUUUCUGUUGAGGUUUUGGUAAAAGUUCUUUGGAAUAGGACAUCAUAGAGGGUGAGAAUCCCGUAUUUGACCUUUACUUUCAACUUUGUGAUACACUUUCAAAGAGUCGGAUUGUUUGGGAAUGCAGUCCAAAAUGGGUGGUAAAUUUCAUCUAAAGCUAAAUAUUGGCGAGAGACCGAUAGCGAACAAGUACCGUGAGGGAAAGACGAAAAGAACUUUGAAAAGAGAGUUAAACAGUACGUGAAAUUGUCAAAAGGGAAGCGUUUGACACCAGUGUUGUUUUUCUGAAAAUCAAUUAAAGAACUGUUUAUGCUAAGCUGUUUAGACUUUAUCAGCUAUCUGUUUAGUUUUGAGCUUUUCUUUAAUGCACUUUUCAGUUAACAAGUCAACAUCAAUUUCUUUUGCUGUAAAAAAGCUUGAGGAAGGUGGCUUGAGAUUCGUCUUAAGUGUUUAUAGCCUCUUGCCUAUGCAGUCGGAGAGAUUGAGGUCUGCAGCGUAGAUCCUUCGGGGCUAAAUGCAUUUGUGCUAAGUUAUAGCAUUUUAUAGACAACUUGUUGACUAUGAUUUGUCUUGUAGCUUACUCGCUUAUGUUAUUUUACCUACGCUUAGGAUGUUGAUCUGUAGUGCGUGCGC